GAGGGUGAUGCCUGCCCAAUGGUUGUAUCUAAAAGCGGUUGAUAAAAGUCGACCUCGUAAGGACAAUUGAAUGGCCGCGGUAACACUGACCGUGAUAAUGUAGCGUAAUCAAUAGCCAAUUAAUUGUUGGCCAGUAUGAAUGGCGCCACGAAGGCCCCACUGUCUUAAGGAAAUUCCCAGUGAAAUUGAAUUCGUAGUGAAGAUGCUACGUCCAAUUUGUUAGACGAAAAGACCCCGUUGAGCUUUACUGGGGCACUUACACGGCCCCGGCCUUCCCGUGCCCGGGAACCGGCCGAAUUUAAAUGGGUGGUUUAGACUAUGUGGCAGCCCCCCGCCGGGGCAGAUGAAACCCCACUCCCCCAUGUCAAAGGGGCUAACCCCCCCCUUGGGGGGGACAGUGUAAGUAGGACAGUUUGGUUGGGGCGACCGCCUUUUAAAGAGUAACGAAGGUGCGCUUAAGGUGCGCAAUUAAUGACUGAAGCCUGACUGCGAGGGGGACACCCCGAGCAGACACCCCCAAGCCCGCCCGAGGGCGGCGGUGGGGUGG
Molecule: ribosomal RNA, 547 nt
Filed under: Palythoa grandis
Lineage: Eukaryota; Metazoa; Cnidaria; Anthozoa; Zoantharia; Sphenopidae
Description: partial 16S ribosomal RNA
Rfam family: Bacterial large subunit ribosomal RNA
Source: RNAcentral